RNAcentral lists this ribosomal RNA (400 nucleotides) under uncultured Burkholderia sp. Its description in RNAcentral is "bacterial SSU rRNA". It matches the Rfam family "Bacterial small subunit ribosomal RNA", at positions 969 to 1375 of the family's 1533-position model. The record is from RNAcentral. Lineage: Bacteria; Pseudomonadati; Pseudomonadota; Betaproteobacteria; Burkholderiales; Burkholderiaceae.
CCUUACCAGGCCUUGACAUCCAAUGAACUUUCCAGAGAUGGAUUGGUGCCUUCGGGAACAUUGAGACAGGUGCUGCAUGGCUGUCGUCAGCUCGUGUCGUGAGAUGUUGGGUUAAGUCCCGCAACGAGCGCAACCCUUGUCCCUAGUUGCUACGCAAGAGCACUCUAGGGAGACUGCCGGUGACAAACCGGAGGAAGGUGGGGAUGACGUCAAGUCCUCAUGGCCCUUAUGGGUAGGGCUUCACACGUCAUACAAUGGUCGGAACAGAGGGUCGCCAACCCGCGAGGGGGAGCCAAUCCCAGAAAACCGAUCGUAGUCCGGAUCGCACUCUGCAACUCGAGUGCGUGAAGCUGGAAUCGCUAGUAAUCGCGGAUCAGCAUGCCGCGGUGAAUACGUUCCC